RNAcentral lists this long non-coding RNA (215 nucleotides) under Elaeis guineensis (African oil palm). RNAcentral's name for it is "long non-coding RNA (EGUI_LNC018882)". The record is from RNAcentral. Lineage: Eukaryota; Viridiplantae; Streptophyta; Magnoliopsida; Arecales; Arecaceae.
GGAGAGGUGAGAGCACAAAGGGGUCUGAAGUUAAAUAGCUUAAAGUGCACAUUAUUUCAUUUUGGGAUCAGAUCCCUAGAUGGUUGUUGAUGAUCGAUCAAAAAGACAAGAUUCAGAGAAAUCUGAUAGAAAGAUUUAAAGUGAUGGUUCUAUUUAGUCCCAUAUCAACUGUUUAGAUGAUGCUUUCUCACUUUAAAACAACUAAUCCUCAUUGA